GAACGCGAAGAACCUUACCUGGUCUUGACAUGUACGGAACCCUCCAGAGACGGAGGGGUGCCUUCGGGAGCCGUAACACAGGUGCUGCAUGGCUGUCGUCAGCUCGUGUCGUGAGAUGUUGGGUUAAGUCCCGCAACGAGCGCAACCCUUGUCAUUAGUUGCCAUCAUUAAGUUGGGCACUCUAAUGAGACUGCCGGUGACAAGCCGGAGGAAGGUGGGGAUGACGUCAAGUCCUCAUGGCCCUUAUGACCAGGGCUUCACACGUCAUACAAUGGUCGGUACAGAGGGUAGCCAAGCCGCGAGGCGGAGCCAAUCUCACAAAACCGAUCGUAGUCCGGAUUGCACUCUGCAACUCGAGUGCAUGAAGUCGGAAUCGCUAGUAAUCGCAGGUCAGCAUACUGCGGUGAAUACGUUCCCGGGUCUUGUACACACC
Molecule: ribosomal RNA, 433 nt
Filed under: uncultured bacterium
Lineage: Bacteria
Description: bacterial SSU rRNA
Rfam family: Bacterial small subunit ribosomal RNA
Source: RNAcentral